RNAcentral lists this ribosomal RNA (464 nucleotides) under uncultured bacterium. RNAcentral describes it as "partial 16S ribosomal RNA". It matches the Rfam family "Bacterial small subunit ribosomal RNA", at positions 28 to 507 of the family's 1533-position model. The record is from RNAcentral.
GACGAACGCUGGCGGCGUGCUUAACACAUGCAAGUCGAACGGUAAGGCCCCAGCUUGCUGGGGUACACGAGUGGCGAACGGGUGAGUAACACGUGGGUGACCUGCCCUGCACUUCGGGAUAAGCCUUGGAAACUGGGUCUAAUACCGGAUAGGACCGCACCGUGAGGGUGUGGUGGAAAGUUGUGCGGUGUUGGAUGGGCCCGCGGCCUAUCAGCUUGUUGGUGGGGUAAUGGCCUACCAAGGCGGCGACCGGUAGCCGGCCUGAGAGGGUGGACGGCCACAUUGGGCCUGAGAGACGGCCCAGACUCCUACGGGAGGCAGCAGUGGGGAAUAUUGCACAAUGGGGGGGAGCCUGAUGCAGCGACGCCGCGUGGGGGAUGACGGCCUUCGGGUUGUAAACUCCUUUCACCGUCGACGAAGGUUUUCUGACGGUAGAUGGAGAAGAAGCACCGGCUAACUACGUG